RNAcentral lists this ribosomal RNA (680 nucleotides) under uncultured bacterium. RNAcentral describes it as "bacterial SSU rRNA". It matches the Rfam family "Bacterial small subunit ribosomal RNA", at positions 747 to 1430 of the family's 1533-position model. The record is from RNAcentral.
UGAGGCACGAAAGUGUGGGGAUCAAACAGGAUUAGAUACCCUGGUAGUCCACACUGUAAACGAUGAUAACUCGCUGUCGGCGAUACACAGUCGGUGGCCAAGCGAAAGCGAUAAGUUAUCCACCUGGGGAGUACGACCGCAAGGUUGAAACUCAAAGGAAUUGACGGGGGCCCGCACAAGCGGAGGAACAUGUGGUUUAAUUCGAUGAUACGCGAGGAACCUUACCCGGGCUCAAACGGUGCAUGAAUGAUUAAGAGAUUGAUCAGACCUUAGGGACAUGUAUCGAGGUGCUGCAUGGUUGUCGUCAGCUCGUGCCGUGAGGUGUCGGCUUAAGUGCCAUAACGAGCGCAACCCUUGUCAUUAGUUACCAUCAGGUCAAGCUGGGGACUCUAAUGAGACUGCCACCGUAAGGUGAGAGGAAGGGGGGGAUGACGUCAAAUCAGCACGGCCCUUAUGUCCGGGGCGACACACGUGUUACAAUGGGGGGUACAGAGGGCAGCCAUCCGGCGACGGAGCGCCAAUCUCAAAAACCCUUCUCAGUUCGGAUUGGAGUCUGCAACCCGACUCCAUGAAGUUGGAUUCGCUAGUAAUCGCGCAUCAGCCAUGGCGCGGUGAAUACGUUCCCGGGCCUUGUACACACCGCCCGUCAAGCCAUGGAAGCUUGGGGUGCCUGAAGUUCG